RNAcentral lists this ribosomal RNA (524 nucleotides) under uncultured bacterium. RNAcentral describes it as "bacterial SSU rRNA". It matches the Rfam family "Bacterial small subunit ribosomal RNA", at positions 8 to 526 of the family's 1533-position model. The record is from RNAcentral.
AGAGUUUGAUCAUGGCUCAGGACGAACGCUGGCGGCGCGCUUAACACAUGCAAGUCGAGCGAGAACCAUGGCUUCGGCCAUGGGGACAGCGGCGAACGGGUGAGUAACACGUGAGUAAUCUGCCCUCGACACUGGGAUAGCCCGGGGAAACCCGGAUUAAUACCGGAUAGCCUCUGGAGCUCUUGGGCUCUCGAGAAAAGAUGGCUUCGGCUUUCGGUUGAGGAGGAGCUUGCGGCGGAUUAGCUUGUUGGUGGGGUAACGGCUCACCAAGGCGACGAUCCGUAGCUGGUCUGAGAGGACGAUCAGCCACACUGGGACUGAGACACGGCCCAGACUCCUACGGGAGGCAGCAGUGGGGAAUCUUGCGCAAUGGCCUAACGGCUGACGCAGCGACGCCGCGUGAGGGAUGACGCUCUUCGGAGUGUAAACCUCUUUUGCCCGGGACGAACUGCCAGUUUUCACUGGCUUGACGGUACCGGGUGAAUAAGCACCGGCUAACUCCGUGCCAGCAGCCGCGGUAAUUC